This 77-nucleotide transfer RNA is filed under the name Planctomycetota bacterium. Its description in RNAcentral is "tRNA-Val". It matches the Rfam family "tRNA". Rfam says of the family: Transfer RNA (tRNA) molecules are approximately 80 nucleotides in length. Their secondary structure includes four short double-helical elements and three loops (D, anti-codon, and T loops). The record is from RNAcentral. Lineage: Bacteria; Pseudomonadati; Planctomycetota.
GGGCGAUUAGCUCAGCUGGCUAGAGCGCCUGCCUUACAAGCAGGAGGUCGCAGGUUCGAGCCCUGCAUCGCCCACCA